CGAAAGCCUGACGGAGCAAGACCGCGUGAGGGAGGAAGGCUCUUGGGUUGUAAACCUCUUUUCUCAGGGAAGAAGCUCUGACGGUACCUGAGGAAUCAGCCUCGGCUAACUCCGUGCCAGCAGCCGCGGUAAUACGGAGGAGGCAAGCGUUAUCCGGAAUUAUUGGGCGUAAAGCGUCCGCAGGCGGCUAAUUAAGUCUGCUGUCAAAGCCCACAGCUCAACUGUGGAUCGGCGGUGGAAACUGGUUAGCUUGAGUGCGGUAGGGGUAGAGGGAAUUCCCGGUGUAGCGGUGAAAUGCGUAGAUAUCGGGAAGAACACCAGUGGCGAAGGCGCUCUACUGGGCCGCAACUGACGCUGAGGGACGAAAGCUAGGGGAGCG
This 379-nucleotide ribosomal RNA is filed under the name uncultured cyanobacterium. RNAcentral describes it as "bacterial SSU rRNA". It matches the Rfam family "Bacterial small subunit ribosomal RNA", at positions 376 to 770 of the family's 1533-position model. Lineage: Bacteria; Bacillati; Cyanobacteriota. The record is from RNAcentral.